GUUUUAAUAAUUUAAUAAAAAUAUUGGUCUUGUAAAUCAAAAAUAGUUAACGCUUUAAAACU
Molecule: transfer RNA, 62 nt
Filed under: Longitarsus tabidus
Lineage: Eukaryota; Metazoa; Arthropoda; Insecta; Coleoptera; Chrysomelidae
Description: tRNA-Thr
Source: RNAcentral